UACGAAGGGGGCUAGCGUUGCUCGGAAUCACUGGGCGUAAAGCGCACGUAGGCGGAUUGUUAAGUCAGGGGUGAAAUCCUGGAGCUCAACUCCAGAACUGCCUUUGAUACUGGCGAUCUUGAGUCCGGGAGAGGUGAGUGGAACUGCGAGUGUAGAGGUGAAAUUCGUAGAUAUUCGCAAGAACACCAGUGGCGAAGGCGGCUCACUGGCCCGGUACUGACGCUGAGGUGCGAAAGCGUGGGGAGCAACCAGG
Molecule: ribosomal RNA, 253 nt
Filed under: uncultured bacterium
Lineage: Bacteria
Description: partial 16S ribosomal RNA
Rfam family: Bacterial small subunit ribosomal RNA
Source: RNAcentral